UACGUAAGGGGCAAGCGUUGUCCGGAAUCAUUGGGCGUAAAGAGCGUGUAGGCGGCCAGGUAGGUCGGUUGUGAAAGCUGGAGGCUCAACCUUCAGAGGUCGACCGAAACCAUCUGGCUAGAGUCCGGGAGAGGAGAGUGGAAUUCCUGGUGUAGCGGUGAAAUGCGCAGAUAUCAGGAAGAACACCCGUGGCGAAAGCGGCUCUCUGGAACGGUACUGACGCUGAGACGCGAAAGCGUGGGGAGCGAACAGG
Molecule: ribosomal RNA, 253 nt
Filed under: uncultured bacterium
Lineage: Bacteria
Description: partial 16S ribosomal RNA
Rfam family: Bacterial small subunit ribosomal RNA
Source: RNAcentral